UGGGUAGCGAACAGGAUUAGAUCCCUGGUAGUUCAUCCCGUAAACGAUGAGUGUUAAGUGUGGAGGGUUUCCGCCCUUCAGUGCUGCAGCUAACGCAUUAAGCACUCCGCCUGGGGAGUACGACCGCAAGGUUGAAACUCAAAGGAAUUGACGGGGGCCCGCACAAGCGGUGGAGCAUGUGGUUUAAUUCGAAGCUACGCGAAGAACCUUACCAGGUCUUGACAUCUUCUGCCAAUCUAAGAGAUUAGACGUUCCCUUCGGGGACAGAAUGACAGGUGGUGCAUGGUUGUCGUCAGCUCGUGUCGUGAGAUGUUGGGUUAAGUCCCGCAACGAGCGCAACCCUUAUUAUCAGUUGCCAGCAUUCAGUUGGGUACUCUGGUGAGACUGCCGGUGACAAACCGGAGGAAGGUGGGGAUGACGUCAAAUCAUCAUGCCCCUUAUGACCUGGGCUACACACGUGCUACAAUGGACGGUACAACGAGUCGCAAAGUCGCGAGGCUAAGCUAAUCUCUUAAAGCCGUUCUCAGUUCGGAUUGUAGGCUGCAACUCGCCUACAUGAAGUUGGAAUCGCUAGUAAUCGCGGAUCAGCAUGCCGCGGUGAAUACGUUCCCGGGCCUUGUACACACCGCCCGUCACACCAUGAGAGUUUGUAACACCCAAAGCCGGUGAGAUAACCUUCGGGAGUCAGCCGUCUA
RNAcentral lists this ribosomal RNA (695 nucleotides) under Levilactobacillus spicheri. RNAcentral describes it as "bacterial SSU rRNA". It matches the Rfam family "Bacterial small subunit ribosomal RNA", at positions 762 to 1459 of the family's 1533-position model. Lineage: Bacteria; Bacillati; Bacillota; Bacilli; Lactobacillales; Lactobacillaceae. The record is from RNAcentral.